GAUUUGCAAGCCACAAAGGCACAGGAAAAACAAUGGAAGAAGGCAAGAGAACUCCAUGUUAAAGAACUUUCCCAACAACAUGUGCAUUAUCUUUUGCACUAGAUCUACAAAUGGUUGUUGCUUCAACUAAGAUACCACUAUUUUGGCAAGACUUUUCUGCAUCUUUCGUGUAAAAUUGAAGACCAUUUAUUACAAAACUAGAAUAUGACAGACUGGCAUCUAGGGCCACGUGCAAGCCACUUUAAAGUAUUUGCAACAUUGUCGAGAAACAAUUGACCUGUAAUCUGUUAUUAUUAUAAACAUGUUAGGAAUAAAAGAAUAAACAUCUAUGUUAAACACUAAUCUUGUUGAUAUAUGUACUUCAACCUUAUCGUCCAACCAGGCAGCAAAAGUGUCAAUAUGUUUCUUAUGCAACAAAUUCUCAUUUCUUUGAAGUCAUUUGUCAAAACUCUUGAGUUCAUCCAUAUGCGUCCUAAGUGGAAAACAAUAUAUCAAGAAAUUAAUAUGGUCGAAGAACUUAAAACCUAACAAAGUAGAUAUGUCAUGAACAUACUAUACGUAUAGAGCCACUUCUAUACUAUUUAGCAGCACAUAGCAAGGGGCAACUUUCAGCAUCUCAUCAAAUAGUACAAGUGGCUUCCUUUUAGAACUUGUACACCCUGCAACUAAGAAGUCACUUUCAUAUUCUUCAUUGCACGCAAACUUAGAGCCUAUUUCAAAUGCUUGUUUAAUGUAUUUGCUACAAAACAAUGCAUUUUUUUCAACAAUAUAUCAUUCAGCUAUGCAUCCUUCAGGUCAUGAACGAUUCAUGACGUAUUCUUUCAACACUUUCAUAUAUCUACACAUUUUCCAAAAAUCUAAUAAAAUAAAAAUAAAUUUGAUAGUGAAUUUAACUACUAUGAUAAGUUAAGGAAUACCACCUCUCAAAUGGGUACAUCCAACAAUAUUGAACUGAUCCACAUAGACAAGCUUCUCUUCCAUAUGGAUUGUUAAAUAAACAUUAUAUCAAAAAAGAAACUUUUAUUAUUUGAGUGUCAUUUAAGUUGUGUUGGCAUUCCAUCUAUUCCGAACAUCCUCUUAGAUCUUGGUAUGAUAGGGAAAUAAUACAAGACUUUUGCUAGAAUUUUAUUUUUAUUUUUUUGAAAUUUCUUAGUCCAUUGGUUAACUUUUUAUUUAUAACAACCACAUUUUAGACAUAAUUCUGCAUGUUCAAGCUCCUUCCUAUAUAGACAACAACCAUUCAAGUAAACAUGUAUCUUAUCAUAGGUAAGAUCAAAUGCUUUGACAAGUUUUUCAUAUCAUAAAAUGAGUUAGAAAGUGUAUUAUUCUGUGACAGCAUGCCCAGCACAAGAUUUAUGAGUUCAUCGAAACCACUAUUUGAUAGAUCAUGUGUAGCUUUAUAUUUAAACAUAGCAACUGAAGCUGACAUCUUCGUAAAUGCCAUACAACUAGGAUACAAAAGGAUUUUCGCAUCACUAACUAAACGUUGAAUGUCUUCCCCUGUUCCAUCAUGAGGAUUUUCAGGAUGUACAUCAUGUUAUGCAUAGAAGUCCCUAAAUAUCCUACAUGACUCGGGCAUUUCUACAUCAACCAAAUUUGAUUUAUUUGGUCGCUCUCCAUUAAAUACCCAAACAGUAUAUGUAGAAUCUAUACCCUUAAUAACCAAAUGCUCAUACAAUGUUUCAUAAUAAUGAUGCUUUAGAUUCUUAUACAUAAUACAAGGGCAUCUUAUCAUUCCUGAAUUUAGAUUUUCACAAGCUAGUUCAACAAAAUUUCGUGCUCUAUCUCUGUAUUGUUCUGAAAAUCUACGACAACAAUUUUAUGAUCAAUUGAUAUUAUUGUUUAGAUUUUGUAACUAGAUUUAUAAGAUUUUAUUAUAGAUAAUAACCUUGAUAAUUGCAGCCAUUCUUUGUCUAUUAUGAUACUAUCAAACAUUGAAUAGCAACAAUUCAAAUUGUAAAGUAAACUCGAUAAUUUCUAAUACAAACAAAUGUGUGGGAGCAUAAGAU
RNAcentral lists this long non-coding RNA (2009 nucleotides) under Olea europaea subsp. europaea. The record is from RNAcentral. Lineage: Eukaryota; Viridiplantae; Streptophyta; Magnoliopsida; Lamiales; Oleaceae.